Molecule: RNA transcript, 1678 nt
Organism: Nymphaea colorata (pocket water lily)
Lineage: Eukaryota; Viridiplantae; Streptophyta; Magnoliopsida; Nymphaeales; Nymphaeaceae
Gene name: non-specific lipid transfer protein GPI-anchored 7-like
Exons: 4
Source: RefSeq, a predicted model, not a curated record
UCGCAGCCAGAACGCACACGCAUACAUACACAUUUCCUCCAAGUUUGAACGCACACGCAUACAUACACAUUUCCUCCAAGUUUUCAACUUUUAUCUUUGGUUUCGGCUUGAAGAAUCUCUCUACAGUUGCAUGGCUGUUUUCUCAUUUACCGAAAGCCAUGGCCCAUGAGGCGUCUUUUCUACUGAGAGUUCGAGUUAAAAAAUACUGACGGACGCUUUGCGAGUCGGUCGAAUGGCAAUCGUUCACCAUGGUUGCAGAAAAAGAGGUCUCACGGGACACCAAGAGACACCAGUAUAUAAUCCAGGGAGGGUGCUGUCAGCUGUGGAGUCCCAUCCAUCUUCCCCUCCCCAACACGCAUAUCAGUUCAGUUGGCAAGAAGAGAGGUCCUCCUCUUCUUGUUUUUGUUUUCAGAGAGAGAAGAAGAAAGGCGGUAAGGAUUAGGUGGAGGGGCGAUGGAGGCGGGAGCAGGGGGAAGAGCCAUGGUGCUGAUGAUGAUGGUGCUGGUGGUGGCGACGAUGACGGGAUCCCACAGAAGGGGGGUCGGCGUUCAGGCACAGCUGGAUUGUGCUUCGAAGCUGGUAUCUUGUGCGAAUGCCAUCAGCAACACGUCGAUUAAGCCGGGGAAAGAAUGCUGCAGCGCCCUCGCCGACGCCGUCAAGAACGAGCUGAAGUGCCUCUGCGACGUCUAUAACAGUCCCAGCAUCUUCCAGAACUUCAAUAUCAACGCUACUCGGGCUCUCGAGAUCCCCGGGCUGUGCGGCGUCUCUGGCGACCUCAGCCGUUGCAAGUCCGUGGCACCUGCUCCCUCUCCAUCAUCUUCCGCGGCACCAAAUCCAGCUUCAGGUUUGUUUUGGACUCGUUCUCUUUAAUGGAGGUGGCUGGCCCAUUUUCUCCUCAACAACUCGGAAUGUUCAAUAAAAAACAGAUACUGUAUGUCAGCAAUGGUGUGGAGCGAAAGACAGCAAAAACAUUCAAUAAAGGCUUUAAUUUUAUGGGCAGAGUUGGUGUUCCUCUCAAACUCUUAAUUAAUGGAACAAUGAUCACACAAGUCGCCGGUCUUAGUUGUGGAGAAAAGCUUGAACCUGCAAUCUGCCUGAUCUAGUUGGAAGUGCUUAGGCUUUGGAGUUCUAGUGAGACAGCCAGGGAGAUGAGUGUUCUUCUUGGCUUGACUGAACUUCUUAAGUGCUGUUAAGAAAGAUGUUUUUACCAUUUGCUGGUGCCAUUCUAAUUGGGUCUGUUGAAACAUGGUUGAUACAGGUUCAGAUAAUAAGCAGGGGAAUGGAGCUUUGAGGUUGACAUGGUCAUUGAAGCCUUUGUGGGCGCUUGGUUUAUUCUGGAUGUCACUCAUCAUGGUUUGAGCUGAUACAGUGAUACCCUUUUCACCUACAUGAAAAGAAUCCAUUUACAGAGUAGCCUUCAUUCAUCUUUGGGCUGGUCUACUUUGGAGAGUGUAACUUGAGGUCUUUUCUCUUUGUUUUAUUUAUUAUUGUAGGGCAUCACCUUAUGCACUGUCAUUUAUGUUUCUACUAGUGGCUAUGGUUCAUGUUGGCAUUAGUCUUGCUUUUGAUGCUUCUUGGUUGCUUUCUGUUUGUUGUAAUAUUUAUCAUUUGGAAAUUUACUUUGUGAACCAAUAGUCAUGGCUUUGCAAAUAUAUUUUAGAAACUGAGUUCAUGAAUC